AGUGAACGCUGGCGGUAGGCCUAACACAUGCAAGUCGAACGGCAGCACAGUAAGAGCUUGCUCUUACGGGUGGCGAGUGGCGGACGGGUGAGGAAUAUAUCGGAAUCUACUUUUUCGUGGGGGAUAACGUAGGGAAACUUACGCUAAUACCGCAUACGACCUACGGGUGAAAGCAGGGGAUCUUCGGACCUUGCGCGAUUGAAUGAGCCGAUGUCGGAUUAGCUAGUUGGCGGGGUAAAGGCCCACCAAGGCGACGAUCCGUAGCUGGUCUGAGAGGAUGAUCAGCCACACUGGAACUGAGACACGGUCCAGACUCCUACGGGAGGCAGCAGUGGGAAAUAUUGGACAAUGGGCGCAAGCCUGAUCCAGCCAUACCGCGUGGGUGAAGAAGGCCUUCGGGUUGUAAAGCCCUUUUGUUGGGAAAGAAAAGCAGCAGGUUAAUACCCCGCUGUUCUGACGGUACCCAAAGAAUAAGCACCGGCUAACUUCGUG
This 492-nucleotide ribosomal RNA is filed under the name uncultured bacterium. RNAcentral's name for it is "partial 16S ribosomal RNA". It matches the Rfam family "Bacterial small subunit ribosomal RNA", at positions 29 to 507 of the family's 1533-position model. The record is from RNAcentral.